AGGGAGUGCCCAGAUGUUUUGAUGUUUUAUCAUCCUUGUGGGAGGCUUCUCUCGUGUCCCCGCAUGAGGAGCUGGAGCUGAUAGAGGAAGCUCAUCCACACACUCCCCAGAUUCAAACCUGCAACCUGUUGGUCUUCAGUCCUGCCGGCACUGUGGUUUAACCCACUGUGCCACCGGGGCUCCUUUGCAGUGUGGCCCAGUCCUUCACUCAAAUCAGUGCGCAUGGCUCAAGCUUCUUGACUGAUGUAUCCUUCCCCAACAAGGCUGUAAGGGUAAAGAGGCUGAUUUGAAAGAAAUAGUGUUCUGUUAUGGAGGUGCAAAGAUUACUGCAGAUGCAGACUGCAGCCAGGAAAUCAGAAGACACUUACUUCUUGGGAGGAGAACAAUGUCCAAUCUCGAUAAAAUAUUGAAGAGUAGAGACAUCACACUGGCAACGAAGAUCCGCAUAGUUAAAGCACCUAGGGAUGUGAGAGUUGGAUGAUAGGGAAGGCUGAGUGAAGGAAGAUAGAUGCUUUUGAACUGUGGUGUUGAAGGAAAGUUCUGAGAGUGCCUUGGACUGCCAGAAAAUCCAACCAGUCCAUUCUCCAGGAAAUAAAGCCCGACUGCUCACUGGAGGGAAGGAUAUUAGUGGCAAAGAUGAAGUAUUUUGGACACAUAAUGAGAAGAUAAUUAUGCUGGGGAAAAUGGAAGGAAAAAGGAAGGAAGGCCGACCAAGGGCAAGAUGGAUGGAUGGGAUCCUUGAAGUGACUGGAUUGACCUUGAAGGAGCUGGGGGUGGUGACGGCCGACGGGGAGCAAGAAAGCUUUGAAAUAUUGAGCUCAAUUACUUAUGGUGCUAAAAGAAACUGUUAAGUUUUAAAUCAUGAUGAAAUCAGAAUCUUACUUAUUGAGGAUGCUGGGCAAUUAUUGUAUUUACCUGAAUGUAAUGUGCAUCUUUUUUGGCUUAAUUGUUCAGUCAAAAUGGAGAUGCACAUUACAUUCAAUGGCGCAUUACAAUUGUGUGCCAAAAGGUGCCUGUGCCCUUAUAUCAGGUUGAUCCUAGCAAAUCUGCCAGGCCCUGCCUAAUGGUGGAGCAGCGCCUUCCCACCCCAAGCCCUUUUUCUUUCAUCUCUCAGCUAAGAGAUGGAGAAACUGUGCUCCUUCCCUCUUGAAGCUCCAUCUCCUUUGCCUCUAUAAACUUUGCCUGGUGGAAGGAUUCUGCUUUUCCUUCCUUCUUUAGCAAUUUUUUAAUGUGCACCUCAAAAUUGAGAUUUGAUGGCUCACUAGAUUAAUUUGAAUAUGGUAUCUAGAAAGAAAACAAGUAAUAUUUCUACUAUAUAUGAUAGAUUAUUACUGCAGUGAACAUCAUGUCCAGAGGAGGGCGACUAAAAAUGAUCAAGGGUCUGGAGAACAAGCCCUAUGAGGAGCAGCUUAAAGAGCUGGGCAUGUUUAAUCUGAAGAAGAGAAGACUGAGAGGAGACAUGAUAGCCAUGUAUAGAUACGUGAGAGGAAGUCAUAGGGUGGAGGGAGCAAACUUGUUUUCUGCUGCCCUGGAGACUAGGACGUGGAACAAUGGCUUCAAACUACAAGAGAGGAGAUUCCAUCUGAACAUGAGGAAGAACUUCCUGACUGUGAGAGCCAUUCAGCAGUGGAACUCUCCGGAGUGUAGUGGAGGCUCCUUCUUUAGAGGCUUUUAAACAGAGGCUGGAUGGCCAUCUGUUGG
Anolis sagrei ordinatus is the source of this 1701-nucleotide long non-coding RNA. RefSeq lists it as uncharacterized. Lineage: Eukaryota; Metazoa; Chordata; Lepidosauria; Squamata; Anolidae. The record is from RefSeq and is a predicted model, not a curated record.